RNAcentral lists this unclassified non-coding RNA (324 nucleotides) under rhizosphere metagenome. RNAcentral's name for it is "partial ribosomal RNA internal transcribed spacer region". The record is from RNAcentral.
GUAGGUGAACCUGCGGAAGGAUCAUUACAAAAAAUCCAAUGGCUAGCAUACUCUCAAGCAUGCGAAUCAUCAAACCAUUUCUGAGUACAUUACUUCCGCGUUGCUUUCGCAGGUGGACCGGCGUGACGGGGGACGAGAGUCCGCAUCACGUCGUAAAAUUGGACCGGCGUGACGGGGGACGAGGGUCCGCAUCGCGUCGUAAAAUCUGCGAAAGGGUCUGAGUUUUCUUAUUAUUAAAUUCUUCGUUUAACCGUCGUUCAAUUCUCGUCUGAAACAAACUACAAAACAAAAACAAAACUUUCAACAACGGACCUCUUGGUUCUC